GAUUGCGUCUGUACAUCCAUCUAGAUUUUUUACAGUGUGUGGUUGCCCAUUCGCGUGUAUAUGUCUGCCUUAAGUGCCGAACGCUGUUCCAGAUUUGCAGUGGCGCGGAGAUGUGCGGGCAAACGGGAGUGUUGAUGCGCCAAGAUCCGCCGCUUGUAACAGUCGUCCGUACGUGUCUUCUUCUUCUGGCAAUGGGCAACGGGCGCUGGUGGUUGAUAGGGGGCGCUGUGCUUGGCGCGUCUGUAAUCCGCGGUUAAUAGGCUGGAAUGGAUGGGCGAUGAUGAACGAGUAAAAGCCAUAAAAGCUGAGUCUAUCUCUCGUGUCGUCUCAGUUUGCAUGUCUCCUCACUCUGCAAAGUCUAUAGUGGUCGUUUCAGCCUGGGCGUGGCAUUCUAUCUCGCCUUUUUUUCUUUCUUCCCCCCCCCCCCCAUUCUUCUCUCUUUGCCUAUUUCUCUUGCGUCUUAUUUUCUAUUCGUCUUGCUAAAUACACUGUAAACUUUCACAUGUCUAGUUGAGUACGAAGAGAUGCGUGUUGUCAACGUUGUCUCGAAAAACAAAAAUAAAUAAAAUGGUUCCAGACUGUGCGACUUGCUACAGGGCUAGCCUAUUUGAAUGCAGCCAACUUCUCCUAUCAAAGAAUGAUAUCUUUUCUGUUUAGUCGCUACUGUUUCAAGACUCUCGCAAGGACACAAUGUCUGCAACAGUGAAAUGCAACCAAGGACCCACGCUCGAUAUUGAGUAACUUGACGGGUGCAACCUUUUUUUUUAAGGAGAUCACUAAUGAAUCAACGAUUUCAAAAUGUUUAAGUUUUAAAGAAUCAAAGGAAUUGUAUUGUUUUUCUUGUUAUAGCCAAUGGUUCAGACUGCGAUUACAUAUAUUG
This is a long non-coding RNA of Daphnia magna, 880 nucleotides long. RefSeq lists it as uncharacterized. The transcript has 3 exons. The record is from RefSeq and is a predicted model, not a curated record. Lineage: Eukaryota; Metazoa; Arthropoda; Branchiopoda; Diplostraca; Daphniidae.